GAUGAACGCUGGCGGCGUGCCUAAUACAUGCAAGUCGAGCGAACAGACGAGGAGCUUGCUCCUCUGACGUUAGCGGCGGACGGGUGAGUAACACGUGGAUAACCUACCUAUAAGACUGGGAUAACUUCGGGAAACCGGAGCUAAUACCGGAUAAUAUAUUGAACCGCAUGGUUCAAUAGUGAAAGACGGUUCUGCUGUCACUUAUAGAUGGAUCCGCGCCGCGUUAGCUAGUUGGUAAGGUAACGGCUUACCAAGGCAACGAUGCGUAGCCGACCUGAGAGGGUGAUCGGCCGCACUGGAACUGAGACACGGUCCAGACUCCUACGGGAGGCAGCAGUAGGGAAUCUUCCGCAAUGGGCGAAAGCUUGACGGAGCAACGCCGCGUGAGUGAUGAAGGUCUUCGGAUCGUAAAACUCUGUUAUUAGGGAAGAACAAAUGUGUAAGUAACUAUGCACGUCUUGACGGUACCUAAUCAGAAAGCCACGGCUAACUACGUG
Molecule: ribosomal RNA, 497 nt
Filed under: uncultured bacterium
Lineage: Bacteria
Description: partial 16S ribosomal RNA
Rfam family: Bacterial small subunit ribosomal RNA
Source: RNAcentral